RNAcentral lists this ribosomal RNA (311 nucleotides) under uncultured bacterium. Its description in RNAcentral is "bacterial SSU rRNA". It matches the Rfam family "Bacterial small subunit ribosomal RNA", at positions 775 to 1079 of the family's 1533-position model. The record is from RNAcentral.
AGUCAAUAGAUACCCAGGUAGUCCACGCCGUAAACGAUGAGUACUAGGUGUAGGAGGUAUCGACUCCUUCUGUGCCGCAGUUAACACAAUAAGUACUCCGCCUGGGAAGUACGGUCGCAAGAUUAAAACUCAAAGGAAUUGACGGGGGCCCGCACAAGCAGCGGAGCAUGUGGUUUAANUUCGAAGCAACGCGAAGAACCUUACCUAGACUUGACAUCUCCUGAAUAGUGUAGAGAUACAUGAAGCCCUUAGGGGGCCAGGGAAGACAGGUGGUGCAUGGUUGUCGUCAGCUCGUGUCGUGAGAUGUUGGG